CGUAGGGUCCGAGCGUUGUCCGGAAUUAUUGGGCGUAAAGGGCUCGUAGGCGGUUUGUCGCGUCGGGAGUGAAAACUCAGGGCUCAACCCUGAGCGUGCUUCCGAUACGGGCAGACUAGAAGUAUGCAGGGGAGAACGGAAUUCCUGGUGUAGCGGUGGAAUGCGCAGAUAUCAGGAGGAACACCGGUGGCGAAGGCGGUUCUCUGGGCAUUACCUGACGCUGAGGAGCGAAAGCAUGGGGAGCGAACAGGAUUAGAUACCCUGGUAGUCCAUGCCGUAAACGUUGGGCGCUAGGUGUGGGGUCCUUCCACGGAUUCCGUGCCGCAGCUAACGCAUUAAGCGCCCCGCCUGGGGAGUACGGCCGCAAGGCUA
RNAcentral lists this ribosomal RNA (372 nucleotides) under uncultured organism. RNAcentral's name for it is "bacterial SSU rRNA". It matches the Rfam family "Bacterial small subunit ribosomal RNA", at positions 526 to 896 of the family's 1533-position model. The record is from RNAcentral.